AGUAAAAUGCCUGAAUAAAGGGUUAUCUUGAUAGGAUAAAUUAUGUAUUUGAUACUUUUACUA
This 63-nucleotide transfer RNA is filed under the name Hyalomma lusitanicum. The record is from RNAcentral. RNAcentral also lists the same sequence under 1 other name. Lineage: Eukaryota; Metazoa; Arthropoda; Arachnida; Ixodida; Ixodidae.